UGGGGGAUAUUGCACAAUGGGCGAAAGCCUGAUGCAGCGACGCCGCGUGGGGGAUGAAGGCUUUCGGGUUGUAAACCUCUUUCGCUAUCGAACAAGGCCCGCUUAGGGUGGGUUGAGGGUAGGUGGAGAAGAAGCGCCGGCUAACUACGUGCCAGCAGCCGCGGUAAUACGUAGAGCGCGAGCGUUGUCCGGAAUUAUUGGGCGUAAAGGGCUUGUAGGCGGCUUGUUGCGCCUGCUGUGAAAACGCGGGGCUUAACUUCGCGCGUGCAGUGGGUACGGGCAGGCUUGAGUGUGGUAGGGGUGACUGGAAUUCCAGGUGUAGCGGUGGAAUGCGCAGAUAUCUGGAGGAACACCGAUGGCGAAGGCAGGUCACUGGGCCAUUACUGACGCUGAGGAGCGAAAGCAUGGGUAGCGAACAGG
This 420-nucleotide ribosomal RNA is filed under the name bacterium. RNAcentral's name for it is "partial 16S ribosomal RNA". It matches the Rfam family "Bacterial small subunit ribosomal RNA", at positions 355 to 776 of the family's 1533-position model. The record is from RNAcentral.